AUUCAAUACAGAUGUAUUCAACGCAAGACAGUUGGGCAUCUCCCUGUAGGAUGAAGUUUAAUAGAAGUCUUAACAACAAUUCUCAUUGUGUGGCUACUCUGGUCGAAAUGAGAUGCGUUAGGAUGGAAGAGGUUAACCGUAAGACCUUGAGUUGCAAAACUCUAAAAUUGACCUAGAGAUAUGGAUUUCAGAAUUUUCUCAUUUUCUAGUUACGAUAAG
RNAcentral lists this non-coding RNA (219 nucleotides) under unclassified sequences. Its description in RNAcentral is "IS605-orfB-I RNA". It matches the Rfam family "IS605-orfB-I RNA". The record is from Rfam by way of RNAcentral.